UGGGGAAUAUUGCACAAUGGGCGAAAGCCUGAUGCAGCGACGCCGCGUGAGGGACGACGGCCUUCGGGUUGUAAACCUCUUUCAGUAGGGACGAAGCGCAAGUGACGGUACCUGCAGAAGAAGCACCGGCUAACUACGUGCCAGCAGCCGCGGUAAUACGUAGGGUGCGAGCGUUGUCCGGAAUUACUGGGCGUAAAGAGCUCGUAGGCGGUUUGUCACGUCGUCUGUGAAAUCCUAGGGCUUAACCCUGGACGUGCAGGCGAUACGGGCUGACUUGAGUACUACAGGGGAGACUGGAAUUUCUGGUGUAGCGGUGGAAUGCACAGAUAUCAGGAAGAACACCGAUGGCGAAGGCAGGUCUCUGGGUAGUAACUGACGCUGAGGAGCGAAAGCAUGGGUAGCGAACAGG
RNAcentral lists this ribosomal RNA (409 nucleotides) under bacterium. RNAcentral describes it as "partial 16S ribosomal RNA". It matches the Rfam family "Bacterial small subunit ribosomal RNA", at positions 355 to 776 of the family's 1533-position model. The record is from RNAcentral.